UUCAGUCAAUCAAAAGGGGCUCCAAGAACAAAAGAGUCGCCGUCGUCUUCACAGAUCGGGAGAGGGAAGAAUCGAGUGAUCAAGCAGCGAACGGAGGUGGUCUCGGUGGUGGUAAUCGAUCGGAAUAAGUGAGCAUCUCCAGUGUUUGGCCGAACCAAAGGAAGGAAGGAAGGAAGGCACGAGGCCGCGGCUCUGCAUCCAGUCCUUGCUCGUCGUAGACCACAAAGAAGACCGAAGGAGGAUGAAGCUCGCAGGCGGCACUUCGUCAGUCGAUUCGUGAAGAGGGUGUAGUCUCCGGAUCGACGAGACAGAAGAGACGGAGGGCGUGAAGAAGCAGCGAAGUUUUGCUGGUCUCUUCCGGCUGCGAGGUGUGAGUCGUUGGUCUUGGUGGGUGCUUUGCUCCAGUCCUUGCUCGUCGUAGACCACAAAGAAGACCGAAGGAGAAUGAAGCUCGCAGGCUGCACUUCGUCGGUCGAUUAGCGUAGAAGGAGGAGUCUCCGGAUCGAUGAGACAGAAGACACGGACGGCGUAAAGAAGCAACGAAGUUUUGCUCGUCUCUUCCGGUUGCGAGGUGUGAGUCGUCGGUCUUGGUGGGUGCUUUGCUCCAGUCGAUAGAAUAUGAGUGGAGGGGGUGUUCGGUGGUCACGCGGCCACGAGGAUGGGAGGCGAUCGGUCGUUGGGUGGGAGAAGCACCUCCGGUGCUUCACUGUUUCGCAGAGGAGAAAACGAAAACAACAAUGGUAAAGAUUCGAUCGUGAAUCGAUGGGUGAUGGAGGGAAGAGCUCCGACAGCAGCAUAAGCAGUGAUUGAAGGGCUGUCCGGCUGGUUCGUUUGACAGGUAGCAAGGAGGAAAAAAGGGGUUGUUCCCCCUUUUUUACCGGAAAUAGCAACACACCCCCGGUGUGUUCUUGGCAGCCCACAAAUCAGAAAAGAAAGAGAGAAUGAGCAGGGAGUGUUGUGAGGGACGAGUGACGCAACAAUGGAAAUAAUCUUGAUCAGAUUUUUGGGAGAUUUUUUUUUUUUGUAUUUCAAAAUCUUGAAAUUGAUCUUAGAGUACUUAGCAUUA
Molecule: long non-coding RNA, 1066 nt
Organism: Lactuca sativa (garden lettuce)
Lineage: Eukaryota; Viridiplantae; Streptophyta; Magnoliopsida; Asterales; Asteraceae
Source: RefSeq, a predicted model, not a curated record